UAAAAGCCGUCCCAGUUCAGAUCGCAGUCUGCAACCCGACUGCGUGAAGUCGGAAUCGCUAGUAAUCGCGGAUCAGCAUGCCGCGGUGAAUACGUUCCCGGGCCUUGUACACACCGCCCGUCACACCAUGGGAGUCGGGAAUGCCCGAAGUCGGUGAGCCAACGAAAGAGGCAGCCGCCGAAGGCAGGCCCGGUAACUGGGGUGAAGUCGUAACAAGGUACC
Molecule: ribosomal RNA, 222 nt
Filed under: uncultured bacterium
Lineage: Bacteria
Description: partial 16S ribosomal RNA
Rfam family: Bacterial small subunit ribosomal RNA
Source: RNAcentral